GGGUCGUUAGCUCAGUUGGUAGAGCAGUUGACUUUUAAUCAAUUGGUCGCAGGUUCGAAUCCUGCACGACCCUCCA
RNAcentral lists this transfer RNA (76 nucleotides) under Escherichia coli. Its description in RNAcentral is "tRNA-Lys". It matches the Rfam family "tRNA". From Rfam's summary of the family: Transfer RNA (tRNA) molecules are approximately 80 nucleotides in length. Their secondary structure includes four short double-helical elements and three loops (D, anti-codon, and T loops). The record is from RNAcentral. Lineage: Bacteria; Pseudomonadati; Pseudomonadota; Gammaproteobacteria; Enterobacterales; Enterobacteriaceae. RNAcentral also lists the same sequence under 2 other names.